UACGUAGGGUGCGAGCGUUAAUCGGAAUUACUGGGCGUAAAGGGUGCGCAGGCGGCUCUGCAAGUCAGGCGUGAAAUCCCCGGGCUUAACCUGGGAAUGGCGCUUGAAACUACGGGACUGGAGUAUGGCAGAGGGAGGUGGAAUUCCACGUGUAGCGGUGAAAUGCGUAGAGAUGUGGAGGAACACCGAUGGCGAAGGCAGCCUCCUGGGCCAAUACUGACGCUCAUGCACGAAAGCGUGGGGAGCAAACAGG
Molecule: ribosomal RNA, 253 nt
Filed under: uncultured bacterium
Lineage: Bacteria
Description: partial 16S ribosomal RNA
Rfam family: Bacterial small subunit ribosomal RNA
Source: RNAcentral